RNAcentral lists this long non-coding RNA (630 nucleotides) under Ananas comosus (pineapple). RNAcentral's name for it is "long non-coding RNA (ACOM_LNC004809)". The record is from RNAcentral. Lineage: Eukaryota; Viridiplantae; Streptophyta; Magnoliopsida; Poales; Bromeliaceae.
UGUAUUUCGAAAGAGGGAUAAUUUGGUUAUCUUUUUUAAAAUUAGACCGAAUUUGCAAAAUUCAAAAAGUCGGCCUGCUUUUGUAAAAUCUCAAAAUUAAUAAUUUUUUAAUGCAAAUUGACCACAUUUUUUACAUGUAUAUUUAUUGUAAUAUUUUAUUUUCUAAACAAAUAUAUUAUUAUCGUAUAGAAAUAAUAUCAAAUAUAUCUUUUAAAACUUCAAAAAUGUUUAAUAUAUAUCUAGCGAACUAAAAUAUUGUUAUUGAGUUUUGAAAAUUCUUUCAAAUAUAUUUCUAAGUAUAGAGUUUACUAAUGAGAUUUCAAAUUUAGAAGAAUAUCUUAGAAAUAGAGUGAUAAUCAAGGGGUAAGAAAAAGCCGCUAUUAUAUUAUAUAUUAUUAUGAGUUGAGCUCGCGUGCUUUUAACAAGAGUUCAAUAUACUUGCGAUGUUUUAACCAUCAGAUCGUUUCAAAAUCCCUACAGUACUAAUAAAGAGGACUUAAUGAAACACACCGUUACUAAUACUGUACGGAUUUUAAGACAAUCCGACGGCUAAAAAGUCACAAGCACAAAUGCUUUUGUGAUUUCCCAAAUAUUUUGUGGGAAAGAUAAUGAAAAAUCUAUUAGAAUGUG